GGCCGAUGACGACGGCACCGGGCCGAGCCGGACUCGGCAUCCGGCGACGACGAGCCCUAUGAGUGCCGAGGCC
Non-coding RNA from Halolamina pelagica, 73 nucleotides. Lineage: Archaea; Methanobacteriati; Methanobacteriota; Halobacteria; Halobacteriales; Haloferacaceae. The record is from Rfam.